Molecule: ribosomal RNA, 309 nt
Filed under: uncultured eukaryote
Lineage: Eukaryota
Description: partial 18S ribosomal RNA
Rfam family: Eukaryotic small subunit ribosomal RNA
Source: RNAcentral
CCCUUAGAUGUUCUGGGCGGCCCGCGCACUACAUUGGCACUGGCAACAAGAUCCUAGAUCUGGUAUUUCGGGGUAUUCUACCAACUGGUGUCGUGACUGGGAUUAACCCCUGCAAUUAUUGGUUAUGAACGAGGAAUUCCUUGUAAUCACGGUUUAUCAACCCGUGUUGAAUGCGUCCCUGCCCUUUGUACACACCGCCCGUCGCUCCUACCGAUGAAUCGUCCGGUGAAGUUCAUGGAGUGGCGGCUGCUCCAGCUGUUUUCGAAGUGAAAUGGACCUCAUGAUUUAGAGGAAGGAGAAGUCGUAACA